GCGCCAUUAGCUCAGCUGGUAGAGCAGCUGACUCUUAAUCAGCGGGUCCGGGGUUCGAAUCCCUGAUGGCGCA
Molecule: transfer RNA, 73 nt
Filed under: candidate division GN15 bacterium
Lineage: Bacteria
Description: tRNA-Lys
Rfam family: tRNA
About the family: Transfer RNA (tRNA) molecules are approximately 80 nucleotides in length. Their secondary structure includes four short double-helical elements and three loops (D, anti-codon, and T loops).
Source: RNAcentral